GAUGAAGAACGUAGCGAAAUGCGAUAAGUAAUGCGAAUUGCAGAAUUUCCGUGAGUCAUCGAAUCUUUGAACGUACAUUGCGCCCACUGGUAUUCCGGUGGGCAUGCCUGUUCGAGCGUCAUUAUCCUCCCUCAAACCCCGGGUUUGGUGUUGGACCGAAGUUGUGUGAACAACUGGUCUAAAAGACAAUGACGGCGUCCGUGGGACCCUCGGUGCAACGAGCUUUUAGGAGCACGCGCCGAGUUGCAAGGACCUUCCGGGCCGGUCUCCUUUUACUAUUUUACAAGGUUGACCUCGGAUCAGGUAGGAAUACCCGCUGAACUUAAGCAUAUCAAUAAGCGGAGGA
Molecule: unclassified non-coding RNA, 346 nt
Filed under: soil metagenome
Description: partial contains 5.8S ribosomal RNA, internal transcribed spacer 2, and large subunit ribosomal RNA
Rfam family: 5.8S ribosomal RNA (bases 1-121)
Source: RNAcentral